CACUCCUAAUUUGUCUGCAUGCAAGGAGAACCAGACUUAAGGUAGGAUCCACUCAUUUACUGACUGAUUGCUUAUUGAAUGCCUUCUCUGUGCUGGACAGUAGGAGUAAGAUGAGGAGCACUGUGGACUUUGUCCCUGCCCUCAUACAUUUAUGAUAAGGGGUUGUGGGGUCAGGGCAUGGAAAAAACAAAAGGCAAAUCUUUAAGACAAACUGAUUGGAAACGACUGCUAUUGGUUAAAUACACCCACAUGUUGAGAUAAUUUGUACUUUCCCAAAACAUUAUCUUGAUAACAUUAUAGUCCCAGAAAGCGUUAGGGAAUGUAGUAAUGAAACUUUGGCAGGUCUUGUGCCUCUACAAUGUUUGUGUUGCUCAUGACCUUUGUACAUGAAUGCUUUUGCCCAUGUGGCCAGUCAAAAAAUGACCUGGUUGACCUGUUUUUCCAAAAGACCUUUGACCAAAUCUUUGAUGGACAAACAGAGAAUCAUGUUUUCAAGAAGGAUCUACUUGCAAGCAAAGUUCUAUAGUGUAGUCAGGGAAGGCUCUAUGAAGUAAUGAACUCUUCUGGCAAAGAUCUGAAGGAUGAGUAGAAAAUAGUCUGGUCAUGAGCUAGGGGAAGUGAUUUACAGGCAGGAGUAACAUGUGGAAUACAGAAUAAUUUGACUUUAAUAAAUUUCAAAUGGUAAAAAUUUUCCAAAGUUCAAAAUAGAAACAUAACAUCCCGUGAUAUUAGAAAAUCUCAUUACUUUACUUUAGUCUGGCCAGAAAUGUGUCAAGAGGAAGACUUCAAAGAGGUAGAUUUCAUCUCUCUGGCCUGUAAACAAAAUGCCCAAAACACUUCCCCAAGGCUUAAAGUCAGUUUGUAAUUACUCUUUUCAUCACCUCAGAAGAAUUUCCAAACUUUAGUAACGUAGUAAAAUUUUUUUUGGCCUUUGUGAAUAAAUACUAUGAAAUUUGGUUCAAAAGAUAAAGCAAAGAGCAACUGAGGUCUUCAAAACAUCAUGUAUCUAGAAGAUCACAUCUUUCUCUCACCCAGAUUGCCUAAUUUUUGAACUUUUAAAGAGCAGAGUACUGCUUUCAGUGCUAUUUAGUCAUUUCCCACAGCUCUUCAUCCCUUUAGAGUAGCUUUUAUAGUUACUUGGGCCAUUUUGGGUAGUGGACAUUGGAUUACUAUUUUUGUUCAACCAAAUAAAUGGAAGGCUUCUUAGUAUUAUUAAUGCUCAAAACAUGCAACCCACACUCCUAUUAUGCAAUUGAAUAUUGUUUUGAAGUCAUCCUGUAAUUACAAGAUUUCCUUCCAAAUCAGACAAUAGGUCUGAAAGUAGUAAUUUUGACCUAAAUAUGUGCAAGAGCUUGAAGGGCUUCUUAUAAAAACUAAGAGGAAGACCAAGUUUAGUGGAAAAACACCCAGGCUAGGAUUUGGGAGACCUGGGUCCCACUGACAUCUCUGCCAAUUAUUGGCUCUCCAAGUCCCCCUUUGGUUGGGUAAUGGGGCCGUCCAUCCUAACUCACUCUAUUAUGUGGAAUAUAAAUAUGGGAAUCACAAUGAAAACUGUAAAAUUAUAUUACAUCUAAAAGGCUGCCAUGUUUUCUUAAACACUGGUUAAUUAUGGUGAGGAAACCGAGAGAGGCAGAGAGGUUAAUAAACUUGUCCCCAGAGUAACAUGUAAGAAAAUGAUAGAGAUAGGACAUAUCAUGAAGCAAUUUCCAAAGCGUAUCUGGCAUAUACCAGCUUCGCUUCCAGAGACAUCUACCUGACCAGAGGUAGAGCAGUAGUUUACACUUCUUCACUUGUUCAGACAAUAAAGAAAAUGGGUUUUGAGGAAGCCCUGUAUGCCUUUCUAAAAGUGCUUUCUAAGACAGAGUACAUAUUUCCUGAUCUUCUGUAUAUCCGUCAUCAAACUCAACUGUCAUCUUCUUAAUGCCAGGUAGAUACUAAACCACAAAUCCUCCAAAACAACUGGGCAGAAAGUAGAAGACAAUCAGCAGCAUUCACUGCUUUCUAAGAAGGCAAUUCCCAGGAAUACAGUCCUGAAGGUUUAAGUUGAAAAAGAAACUUGAUCUUAGUAGGUGAGUCCAAACACACUUUCCAAGGAACAGAAAAUCCCUAUAUUACUUUAGUUGUAUCAGAAAAUAAAAGAUAAGAAAAAGUUGCCCAACUCAUUUCAUUCUAAAAGUGGAUUGAAUAGGUAUAAUAAAUAAAAGUAAAUUAUAGACCAAUGUUUAAGACAUAGGUACAAAAAUCCCAGACUUUAUAUUAUUUAAAAGUAAUUACAGCAAUAUGUAUAGGAAUUAAUACAUCAUUAUCAAGUUCAAUUUAUUCCAGUGCCUGCUGAAAGGUCAUCUUUUUAAGAUGAUUUCUCUGAUAAUUUUAUCUGAAAAGUGACCACCCAUCCUACUUGUCACUAUCUUCUUCCUUGUUUUUUUUUCUUUAUAACCUUCAUCAUGACUUUACAUUUUAAAUUUUUAAUUUUUUCCCUUCUCUCCUUUUUUUUUUGAGAUAAAGUCUUGCUCUGUUGUCUAGGCUGGAGUGCAGUGGCACAGUCAUAGAUCACUGCAGGGUAAUUUUAAAUUUUUUGUAGAGGUAGGGUCUUGUUACAUUGCCCAGG
This 2608-nucleotide long non-coding RNA is filed under the name Homo sapiens (human). RNAcentral describes it as "HSALNT0292911". The record is from RNAcentral. Lineage: Eukaryota; Metazoa; Chordata; Mammalia; Primates; Hominidae.